GACGAACGCUGGCGGCGUGCCUAAUACAUGCAAGUCGAACGAACCGCGACUAGGUGCUUGCACUUGGUCAAGGUGAGUGGCGAACGGGUGAGUAACACGUGGGUAACCUACCUCAUAGUGGGGGAUAACAGUCGGAAACGACUGCUAAUACCGCAUAGGACAUAGGAUCACAUGAUUCUGUGAGGAAAGGUGGCGCAAGCUAUCGCUAAGGGAUGGACCCGCGGUGCAUUAGCUAGUUGGUAGGGUAAAGGCCUACCAAGGCGAUGAUGCAUAGCCGACCUGAGAGGGUGAUCGGCCACAUUGGGACUGAGACACGGCCCAAACUCCUACGGGAGGCAGCGGUAGGGAAUCUUCCGCAAUGGACGCAAGUCUGACGGAGCAACGCCGCGUGAGUGAAGAAGGUCUUCGGAUCGUAAAGCUCUGUUGUUAGAGAAGAACAGCGCAUAGAGUAACUGUUAUGCGUGUGACGGUAUCUAACCAGAAAGCCACGGCUAACUACGUG
This 502-nucleotide ribosomal RNA is filed under the name uncultured bacterium. RNAcentral describes it as "partial 16S ribosomal RNA". It matches the Rfam family "Bacterial small subunit ribosomal RNA", at positions 28 to 507 of the family's 1533-position model. The record is from RNAcentral.